GGCCCUCUAGCUCAGAUUGGUUAGAGCGAUUGACUCAUAAUCGAGAGGUCGGGGGUUCGAAUCCCCCGAGGGCCACCA
RNAcentral lists this transfer RNA (78 nucleotides) under Vibrio vulnificus. Its description in RNAcentral is "tRNA-Met". It matches the Rfam family "tRNA". From Rfam's summary of the family: Transfer RNA (tRNA) molecules are approximately 80 nucleotides in length. Their secondary structure includes four short double-helical elements and three loops (D, anti-codon, and T loops). The record is from RNAcentral. Lineage: Bacteria; Pseudomonadati; Pseudomonadota; Gammaproteobacteria; Vibrionales; Vibrionaceae.